RNAcentral lists this ribosomal RNA (250 nucleotides) under uncultured bacterium. RNAcentral describes it as "partial 16S ribosomal RNA". It matches the Rfam family "Bacterial small subunit ribosomal RNA", at positions 524 to 773 of the family's 1533-position model. The record is from RNAcentral.
UACGUAGGACCCAAGCGUUGUCCGGAUUUACUGGGUAUAAAGGGUGCGCAGGCGGUCAGGUGCGUCAGAAGUGAAAUAUCCGGGCUUAACCCGGAGGGUGCUUUUGAUACGGCUUGACUUGAGUCCGAGAGAGGAUGAUGGAAUUCCUGGUGUAGCGGUGAAAUGCGUAGAUAUCAGGAGGAACACCGGUGGCGAAGGCGGUCAUCUGGCUCGGUACUGACGCUCAGGCACGAAAGCGCGGGGAUCAAAC